AGAGUUUGAUCCUGGCUCAGGAUGAACGCUGGCGGCGUGCCUAACACAUGCAAGUCGAACGAAGCACUUUCUUUUGAUUCUUCGGAUGAAGAAGACUGUGACUGAGUGGCGGACGGGUGAGUAACGCGUGGGUAACCUGCCCCAUACAGGGGGAUAACAGUUAGAAAUGACUGCUAAUACCGCAUAAGCGCACAGCUUCGCAUGAAGGUGUGUGAAAAACUCCGGUGGUAUGGGAUGGACCCGCGUCUGAUUAGGUAGUUGGUGGGGUAACGGCCUACCAAGCCGACGAUCAGUAGCCGGCCUGAGAGGGUGGACGGCCACAUUGGGACUGAGACACGGCCCAAACUCCUACGGGAGGCAGCAGUGGGGAAUAUUGCACAAUGGGGGAAACCCUGAUGCAGCGACGCCGCGUGAAGGAAGAAGUAUUUCGGUAUGUAAACUUCUAUCAGCAGGGAAGAAAAUGACGGUACCUGACUAAGAAGCCCCGGCUAACUACGUGCCAGCAGCCGCGGU
This 513-nucleotide ribosomal RNA is filed under the name Firmicutes str. C38. RNAcentral describes it as "bacterial SSU rRNA". It matches the Rfam family "Bacterial small subunit ribosomal RNA", at positions 8 to 521 of the family's 1533-position model. The record is from RNAcentral.